This 68-nucleotide transfer RNA is filed under the name Marmota monax (woodchuck). RNAcentral describes it as "tRNA.Ala". The record is from RNAcentral. Lineage: Eukaryota; Metazoa; Chordata; Mammalia; Rodentia; Sciuridae.
GGAUGUGGCUCAAGCGGUAGUGCGCUCGCCUGGCAUGCAUGGGGCACUGGGUUCGAUUCUCAGCACCA